AGCCCCCUGUAUUCGUGCUGAGAUUUCGUCAGAAACCCGUUGGCGUUGGCUGAUGGUACUUCCCAAAUAAGUGAAGCG
RNAcentral lists this microRNA precursor (78 nucleotides) under Trichobilharzia regenti. RNAcentral describes it as "mir-3492 microRNA precursor family". It matches the Rfam family "mir-3492 microRNA precursor family". Lineage: Eukaryota; Metazoa; Platyhelminthes; Trematoda; Strigeidida; Schistosomatidae. The record is from Rfam by way of RNAcentral.